CACCUUCCAUGGCCAUCGAGCCCUGGAGUGGGCUUUGAACUUAAGAGCUUCUAGCUCAGAGACAGGGGCACUACCCUUUGAGCCGCAGGACUUCCUUCUACAAUAUUUGGAGAAAUACCAGAUGAAGGAAAACAAAAGUGAAUGUGCAGAAAUUUGCCAGAUGGAAAUUGAUUGCAGCUGCACCAGCCUGAACUAGAAGCCUUGGUGUGGAGAUGGUGAAAAAUCUUCACUGGAGUUUUGGUUCACAAGGAUAUUUGCUGGAUAAAGGCAUAGUAUGCAGGAAAUCACAACUUAGAAGCACGGCAGCUUUGUGCACACGUUGACCCAGAAUUUACCCUACUUCUGUGGGUGUGAAUUACCACAAAAUGCUAAUUAGAAGAAAAGACUUUCUGACUGUUCUGCUGACCACUGUUGGAAGCUGUGUGAAAACUCCACAAAGGUAUCAAUCUCACGGUAUAAUUCAUGGAAUUCUAUCUGGACCGGCUUCCCACCACAAAUGCCUUUUCCAAAUGUUCCAUGGAAUGUUUAACUUCCUGUUCUAUGUUGGUUAUCCCUUGUGUUGAAUA
Molecule: long non-coding RNA, 566 nt
Organism: Rhincodon typus (whale shark)
Lineage: Eukaryota; Metazoa; Chordata; Chondrichthyes; Orectolobiformes; Rhincodontidae
Exons: 3
Source: RefSeq, a predicted model, not a curated record